CCUACGGGAGGCUGCAGUGAGGAAUAUUGGUCAAUGGACGGAAGUCUGAACCAGCCAUGUCGCGUGAAGGAAGACGGCUCUAUGAGUUGUAAACUGCUUUUAUACAGGGGUAAAGCUGUCCACGUGUGUUUAGUUGCAUGUACCCUAUGAAUAAGCAUCGGCUAACUCCGUGCCAGCAGCCGCGGUAAUACGGAGGAUGCGAGCGUUAUCCGGAUUUAUUGGGUUUAAAGGGUGCGUAGGUUGUUUGUUAAGUCAGAGGUGAAAUGUUGGGGCUUAACCCGAAAACUGCCUCUGAAACUGGAAGACUUGAGUGUGUUUGCGGUAGGCGGAAUGUAUGGUGUAGCGGUGAAAUGCUUAGAGAUCAUGCAGAACACCGAUUGCGAAGGCAGCUUACCAAUCCAUAUCUGACACUGAAGCACGAAAGCGUGGGGAGCAAACAGGAUUAGAUACCCGAGUAGUC
RNAcentral lists this ribosomal RNA (460 nucleotides) under uncultured bacterium. RNAcentral's name for it is "partial 16S ribosomal RNA". It matches the Rfam family "Bacterial small subunit ribosomal RNA", at positions 338 to 795 of the family's 1533-position model. The record is from RNAcentral.